UCAGAUCCAAGAGCCAGGGAAGGAGGGGAGAGUGAAGAUCAACAUCAGGAAUAAAGAUCGACAUUGGGAUCUGCUGCCCUUAUGCAUCCCGCCGGCUAAGGCAGGUGCCUCACCUUGCCUCAUGGGUGAACCAGCCCUGGUAAUCUGUGACUGGCAGACCAGACUGAAAACAAGUGUUGGAACAGGGACUUCGGUCUUUGAAUCUAACUGCAUUGUUGCUUCACAUUUUUACAUUAAAAUAUCAAAAUAUUACAGCUCUGAAUUCACUUUUUUAAAAAAAAAUACUUAAACUUACAACCACAAUCAUUCAAAAUAUUUCAAGUUACAAGCACAAUCGUCAGCCAAUUUACAUUUAUAUCACAUUCUUUUCUUUUCUUUUUUGGACUGUCCCACUAAAAUUUUAUUUUUUAAAAAAAUAUAUUUUUAUUGCUCAAUUUCCACAUAACAAAUUAUCAAACCAUAUACAUUAUUCAACACUCCAUAAUUUCCCCCACCUAUCUAAAUGUAUUGGCUUGCCCAGAUCUUGUGACCACUUUAUCGUUGUUUCUUUUAUUACUUUAUCUUUCAGUUCUCAUUCAAGGAGUAGGUGGUACAUUUUCAAUAUAAUUUUUUUAUUUGACUGCAGUAGUUCACUUAUCAGUUUAGAAGUUUUCUGUUCAAAACCUGUUUUUUUAUCUUGGUUAAACAGGUGCACUAUUUGAUAAUAUUGUAACCAACUAUUGCAAUAGUCCUUAAUCUCUUCGUAUGGUUUUAGUUUUACAACUCCCUGCUCUUUUGUUCGUAAUGGUUGGUAUGUUGGCCAUUUCUUUUCCAUAUUUAUUCUUUUUACCACUAAUACCUCUAGUGGAGACACACACCAGGGUAUCUUUGGUUCCAGUAGCCAUCGAUAAUUUGCCCAUACUUUGUAUAAGGGCUUUCUGAUUAUAUGGUUUGAAUUCACUUUUUGAGCAUUUAAAAGUGCAGCCAGUCUUCAUGCAUGGCUUUGGAACAUGAGACUUCUCCGUGCAGCUAGGUUUUUUUUGGCCUGCUGAGGAGGUCUGAAUGGGAGAUUUAAGUAAAUUAACCUUUGUUGGUAUCUGAGAGGUUUGGGGUAUUUUUGACUGGAAAUCCAAACCAGCUUCAGCCUUAUCUCUGACCUGCAAUAUUAACAGUGUGCCACAUUGCAGAGUUGUAGUGUGCUGCACUCAGCCCAGCCUGCAAUGUGGGUGUUAAAGCAACGGACAACAUUGCAGGGUUGUUGUACAGUCCAGUAUCAGCUUCAGCCCAAUGUUCAGUUGGAGUCUAACACUGCUGAACAACGUUGGAGGGUUAUUAACCACUUAGCACCUGACCUGAAGUACUUCGUGUGAAAUACUUGCAAUAUGUGAACCUUGCAAUAUGGACAAUGAAGUAUACUUACUUUGGAAUUUAAGAGUCCUUACGGAAUUUAAAACAUUUUUAAAAUAACUGAGAAAAAGCAGGAACUCUGCUAGAAACUUUUGGGUUCGCCUGGGUACAUGUGUCUGGAAUCACUGGUACCCAAUACCACCCAAAGUUCAGUCAACAUUCUGCUUCCACUGUGCACUCUCAAUAUCCAUGCUGUUUGUCAGGUUUCUCCUUUCUUUACGGUUUCCCUCCCCCUUUCUAAAUAUAUUCUGUACUGCUGCAAACCUUGCUGUUGUUUAGUCGUUUAGUCAUGUCCGACUCUUCGUGACCCCAUGGACCAGAGCACGCUGGGCACUCCUGUCUUCCACUGCCUCCCGCAGUUUGGUUAGACUCAUGUUGGUAGCUUCGAGAACACUGUCCAACCGUCUCAUCCUUUGUCGUCCCCUUCUCCUAGUGCCCUCAGUCUUUCCCAGCAUCAGGGUCUUUUCCAGGGAGUCUUCUCAUGAUGGGGCCAAAGUAUUGGAGCCUCAGCUUCAGGAUCUGUCCUUCCAGUGAGCACUCAGGGCUAAUUUCCAUAAGAAUGUAUAGGUUUGAUCUUCUUGCAGUCCAUGGGAUUCUCAAAAGUCUCCUCCAGCACCAUAAUUCAAAAGCAUCAAUUCUUUGGCCAUCAGCCUUCUUUAUGGUCCAGCUCUCACUACCUUGAGAUUCCCUGAGAUUCCUUGAGAUUCCCCAAAUCUGCCAAGACCUUCUUGCAUAUGGGGGCUGCUGUUUUGACUAUGUCAGCAUGGGAACUCUCUCCUAAAGAUCAGGAAUAGAAUAGAAUAUUAUUAUUUAUCCCAUGACUGACUGAAGAGGUGGGGAAAAAACCAAACAUCCUAUUUCACCCAUGCCAAUAUAAUAAACACAAUAUUAAUUGUGUAGCAAUUGCAGAAUGUGCUCUCCGCAUCCCCUCACAGCAAUGAAAAUAAGUUCAGUUGACUCAUUCAUGGGUUGAAAGACCACAACUUUAUUGGUGUGAAUGGAAGCAGGCAAAGGACAGUUCCAGGAAAUGUUCACACUUCUCGUUUCUCUCUCCAGAUCUCUCUCUAGAUCUUUGUGGCUUGCAGUAUACAAAGAAGGUGGUAGAUGGGAAGAUGGGAAACAAUCCAAACCUCCACAAAGGGAUGCUACAGACAUGAGCAGGGAAGGAUUGUGUGCCUUAAAUGACUACCAGGCUCACAAAUGAAACCAUGUGUGAAUUUUCUCUUAACUCCUUAAUAUAUAGAUAGUACUUACAUACUAGUGACUUAUAAACUGUAAAAUGUGUCCA
RNAcentral lists this long non-coding RNA (2674 nucleotides) under Podarcis lilfordi (Lilford's wall lizard). Lineage: Eukaryota; Metazoa; Chordata; Lepidosauria; Squamata; Lacertidae. The record is from RNAcentral.